UACGGGAGGCAGCAGUGGGGAAUAUUGCACAAUGGGCGCAAGCCUGAUGCAGCCAUGCCGCGUGUAUGAAGAAGGCCUUCGGGUUGUAAAGUACUUUCAGUCGUGAGGAAGGUGUUAAGGUUAAUAACCUUAGCAAUUGACGUUAGCGACAGAAGAAGCACCGGCUAACUCCGUGCCAGCAGCCGCGGUAAUACGGAGGGUGCGAGCGUUAAUCGGAAUUACUGGGCGUAAAGGGCACGCAGACGGUUAAUUAAGUUGGAUGUGAAAUCCCCGGGCUUAACCUGGGAAUGGCAUUCAAGACUGGUUAGCUAGAGUCUUGUAGAGGGGGUAGAAUUCCGAUGUGUAGCGGUGAAAUGCGUAGAGAUGUGGAGGAAUACCGGUGGCGAAGGCGGCCCCUGGGACAAAGGCUGACGCUCAUGUGCGAAAGCGUGGGGAGCAAACAGGGAUUAGAUACC
This 455-nucleotide ribosomal RNA is filed under the name uncultured bacterium. RNAcentral's name for it is "bacterial SSU rRNA". It matches the Rfam family "Bacterial small subunit ribosomal RNA", at positions 340 to 786 of the family's 1533-position model. The record is from RNAcentral.